This is a non-coding RNA of Xiphophorus hellerii (green swordtail), 518 nucleotides long. NCBI's taxonomy places the organism in Eukaryota, Metazoa, Chordata, Actinopteri, Cyprinodontiformes, Poeciliidae. The record is from the annotation of a RefSeq genome assembly.
CCCAUCAGAUCAUCUUCAACACCAACAUGUUCUCUGUAGCUCUGCUACUGCUGCUGGCGGCUGGAUCCUGUGUGGAGUGUGAACAGCUGACACAACCAGCCUCUGUGACUGUUCAGCCAGGUCAACGUCUGACCAUCAGCUGUCAGGUCUCUUAUUCUAUCAGCACCUACUGGACAGUUUGGGUCAGACAGUCCAUUGGGAAGGGCAUGGAGUGGAUUGGUGGAUCUGGCAUUGGACAUAUCACAGUGUUCAAAGAUUCACUAAAUAACAGGUUCAGCAUCAGCUUAGAUGGCUCCAGUAAAACAGUGACAUUAAAUGGAGAGAAUAUGCAGCCUGAAGACUCUGCUGUGUAUUACUGUGCCAGAAAGACCACAGUGACACAAGCAAGCAGCAGAGCUGUACAAAAACAUCACAGUCUGAGAAUAACUCAGAAGAAGAGAAACUUCAAUCAGAUCACCGUCAACAUCAACAUGUUCUCUGUAGCUCUGCUGCUGCAUCCUGUGAGUCUCACUGGAUAA